Mercurialis annua (annual mercury) is the source of this 1315-nucleotide long non-coding RNA. RefSeq lists it as uncharacterized. NCBI's taxonomy places the organism in Eukaryota, Viridiplantae, Streptophyta, Magnoliopsida, Malpighiales, Euphorbiaceae. The record is from RefSeq and is a predicted model, not a curated record. The transcript has 2 exons.
CUAUUAGGUGAUAUUAGAUUUCAUGUAUUCAUGUUUUUUUUUCUUCUAGGAUUCUGCCAUUUGUAUUAGCUCAGAGAAAGUGAUUAUUUUCAAGUUGCAUGCCUCGCUAGGGAGCAGAGGUAUUGUUUGAACUUGGCUUAUCUAGCCAUGGAUGCUAUCGGAUUGUAAUAUAGGUUCGGUUUCAAGUUAAUGUUGCCCUUUUGUUAUUCUAGUUAAUUAUUUGUUAGGACCUUAUUACUACAUAUUUCCUUACCUAAAAUGCAGUAGGUGAACGCACUACUUUCAUCAGCUAAUUGAUGCACAUGCAAAUAUACAAUAUCGUGAUUAAAUAAUAAAAAGUAGAGAAAAUUAUACCAUAUGAUUCAAUUUGGAAAAUCUUUAUGUUAGUGACUCAGAAAAAUAAUUUUUACAGAAAUCUCUCAAUUUUAAAAAUUCAUUUGCAUCGUAUACCUCAUUCUGUUUUUUUUACUUUUCUAACCCUCACUCACUGUAGGAACUGGAAAUUAUGAAUGGAGAUUAGAUGUAAUUGGUUGAUGAGUGGAUCAGAGAUCCGACUGUAAUUUGUCGGCGGUGGUUGGUCGGCGGCUGCCAAUGGUUCCUCCACUGAUAAUCUUAUAAAAUAAAAAUUGCUUCUGUAGAAAGUAUGUUGUUAUUUACUGCUAUUAAAGCAAUUAGUGUUCUUCAAACACUGAUUUUUGCAGGGCUGUUUCCGACGGUUGUCAUAUUUUUCUUAAUUUGCAUCACUAAACCUUUAUUGUUAUAGUCUUACAGUAAUAAUAAUUUACAAUUAAUUUUUUAAUUUUACAAUUGAUUGGUUGAUGUUGUCUAUUUUUAAUUUAAUUGAAGUUUUUUGUUUAUUGAUAGAGAGAAAUUUGAAGGUCAAGAGUUUCACCGGAAAAUAGAGGGCCACUGUUCAACCGUUCUUUUAUCUUUUUGAACAACAGUGCUUGCUUCUCUAUUCUCAAAUGAAUAGCUUGUUUUAGUAGGAGAUUCAUAUUAUUAGUGUUCUUCAGGAGCUAGAAUUUCAUAGCGGUGGCAAGAAGCAGAGAAACCCACGAUGAUAGCACUAACUAUGGAUUAACUGAUAUUUCAAGUGAAGCUUUUAAGCGAGUUUGUGUACAUCCUCUUGAUUUUGAAGUCUGAUAAUAAAUUUUUAUUUGGAAACUGAUAAUAAAUAAUUUUAUUUAAGUAGGAAUAUGUAUAUUCAAGAACCAAUAAUAAACAUUGUCUUAUGUGUUAUUAGCAGUGUCCAUUAUGCAGGUAUUGAGAAUUCAAUGAUGGCUUUAUUUAUGGAUGGACAAAUAUUUCCAGAUUA